UUUGCUGUAAUCUCACACCAAGAUUUUGUUGAUGCAUACCAUCAACAGUCCAAUUAACUCCACACCUAGAGCAAUGAACCAGGUCGAAUGCUUGGCUUGGGUAAGGCAACCGGUGCCUUCCAAAUGUAGCUAUCAUGGCAGUAGGUAGGCCCCAAAACUCGCAAGUCCAGAGCUGAUAUCCAAAGCAACUCGUGUAUGACGGCCAAAUGCAAUCUCAGGAACCAUCUGUAUCACAUGCUUCAGAGAUCAAUCUAAUGCAAACAGAACUUAAACCUACAGAGAAAUGAGGACAGAAGCAAACCUUGGAUAUCUGAUCCAAGUAUUUGUUCGUGCCACGGAUAAAUUGAGGCCCAUCUCCUGGAAAUACAAGCUUGUCAUCUUUUCUCAACACUGGAUCUUUGUUCACCCUAUCCACAAGCGUAUGAGCCCUUCAUCGAAUUCCCCAACUAGGAAAUCCUCCGUCAUCGUUCCCAGCUCAUUUAUGAUCCCUGUUCUCUCCAGCACCGGCCUCUGCGUCACAGGAGGAGAUGGCGCUAAAGGGGUGGUUUCAG
Salvia splendens (bonfire salvia) is the source of this 551-nucleotide long non-coding RNA. RefSeq lists it as uncharacterized. The record is from RefSeq and is a predicted model, not a curated record. The transcript has 3 exons. NCBI's taxonomy places the organism in Eukaryota, Viridiplantae, Streptophyta, Magnoliopsida, Lamiales, Lamiaceae.